RNAcentral lists this ribosomal RNA (97 nucleotides) under uncultured bacterium. RNAcentral describes it as "partial 16S ribosomal RNA". It matches the Rfam family "Bacterial small subunit ribosomal RNA", at positions 1386 to 1482 of the family's 1533-position model. The record is from RNAcentral.
CACACCGCCCGCCACAUCACGAAAGUGGGUUGUACUAGAAAUCGUAAUUCUAACCGUAAGGAAGAUAGCGCUCAAGGUAUGACUCAUGAUUGGGGUG